This 301-nucleotide ribosomal RNA is filed under the name uncultured bacterium. RNAcentral describes it as "partial 16S ribosomal RNA". It matches the Rfam family "Bacterial small subunit ribosomal RNA", at positions 509 to 807 of the family's 1533-position model. The record is from RNAcentral.
CAGCAGCCGCGGGAAUACGAAGGGGGCUAGCGUUGCUCGGAAUGACUGGGCGUAAAGGGCGCGUAGGCGGCUAUCAAAGUCAGGCGUGAAAUUCCUGGGCUCAACCUGGGGGCUGCGCUUGAUACUGGGUUGCUUGAGUGGGGAAGAGGGUCGUGGAAUUCCCAGUGUAGAGGUGAAAUUCGUAGAGAUCGGAAGGAACAUCAGUGGCGAAGGCGGCCAUCUGGGACAACACUGACGCUGAAGCACGAAAGCGUGGGGAGCAAACAGGAUUAGAUACCCCAGUAGUCCCUGUCUCUUAUAC